Molecule: long non-coding RNA, 218 nt
Filed under: Elaeis guineensis (African oil palm)
Lineage: Eukaryota; Viridiplantae; Streptophyta; Magnoliopsida; Arecales; Arecaceae
Description: long non-coding RNA (EGUI_LNC082066)
Source: RNAcentral
UUUGGAUAUGAUGAAGUAUGUAUGGAGGUUGUGAGUAGUCAAUAAGAGAUCGGUUACUCCUAAUAAGGAGAGUGAACGUCCUAUGUGAUCUCAUAGGUUGAUGAUUCUGAAAGUCUUUGGCCAAAAUAAGAUGAUAAUUAGAAAGAGACUUUUAAUAUAUCAUCAACUGAAUCAUCAUCUUCUGAUCAAGGUAUAUUUAGAUAAGUAAUUAUGCUUGA